Molecule: ribosomal RNA, 429 nt
Filed under: Chloroflexota bacterium
Lineage: Bacteria; Bacillati; Chloroflexota
Description: Chloroflexi bacterium partial 16S ribosomal RNA
Rfam family: Bacterial small subunit ribosomal RNA
Source: RNAcentral
UAGGGAAUCUUCGGCAAUGGACGAAAGUCUGACCGAGCAACGCCGCGUGAGUGAAGAAGGUUUUCGGAUCGUAAAACUCUGUUGUUAGAGAAGAACAAGGACGUUAGUAACUGAACGUCCCCUGACGGUAUCUAACCAGAAAGCCACGGCUAACUACGUGCCAGCAGCCGCGGUAAUACGUAGGUGGCAAGCGUUGUCCGGAUUUAUUGGGCGUAAAGCGAGCGCAGGCGGUUUCUUAAGUCUGAUGUGAAAGCCCCCGGCUCAACCGGGGAGGGUCAUUGGAAACUGGGGGACUUGAGUGCAGAAAAGGAGAGUGGAAUUCCAAGGGUGGCGGUGAAAGGCUUAGAUGUAUGGAGGAACACCAGUGGCGAAGGCGGCUCUCUGGUCUGAAACGGACGCUGAGGCUCGAAAGCGUGGGGAGCAAACAGG